AGUGAAAUAACUAGGUCAAUUGGUGGUUCUAUUCUAAGUUUUAUGAGGAACCUCCAUACUACUUUCCAAAGUGGUUGCUCCACCUUGCAGUCCCACCAGCAAU
Molecule: microRNA precursor, 103 nt
Filed under: Marmota monax (woodchuck)
Lineage: Eukaryota; Metazoa; Chordata; Mammalia; Rodentia; Sciuridae
Source: RNAcentral